Molecule: transfer RNA, 71 nt
Organism: Babjeviella inositovora NRRL Y-12698
Lineage: Eukaryota; Fungi; Ascomycota; Pichiomycetes; Serinales
Rfam family: tRNA
About the family: Transfer RNA (tRNA) molecules are approximately 80 nucleotides in length. Their secondary structure includes four short double-helical elements and three loops (D, anti-codon, and T loops).
Source: Rfam
GCUAGUGUAGCUUAAAGGUAAAGCGACGGCUUGAAGCGCUGUAUAUAUGGGUUCAAUUCCCUUCAUUGGCA